CUACGGGCGGCAGCAGUGGGGAAUAUUGCACAAUGGAGGAAACUCUGAUGCAGCAACGCCGCGUGGAGGAUGACACUUUUCGGAGCGUAAACUCCUUUUAUAUAGGAAGAUAAUGACGGUACUAUAUGAAUAAGCACCGGCUAACUCCGUGCCAGCAGCCGCGGUAAUACGGAGGGUGCAAGCGUUACUCGGAAUCACUGGGCGUAAAGAGCGUGUAGGCGGGUUAAUAAGUCAGAAGUGAAAUCCUAUGGCUCAACCAUAGAACUGCUUUUGAAACUGUUAACCUAGAAUAUGGGAGAGGUAGAUGGAAUUUCUGGUGUAGGGGUAAAAUCCGUAGAGAUCAGAAGGAAUACCGAUUGCGAAGGCGAUCUACUGGAACAUUAUUGACGCUGAGACGCGAAAGCGUGGGGAGCAAACAGGAUUAGAUACCCCAGUAGUC
This 439-nucleotide ribosomal RNA is filed under the name uncultured bacterium. RNAcentral describes it as "partial 16S ribosomal RNA". It matches the Rfam family "Bacterial small subunit ribosomal RNA", at positions 339 to 795 of the family's 1533-position model. The record is from RNAcentral.